GUAAGUUGGCAGAAUAGUGCCAUUGAUUUAGGAUCAGUUCAUGGGUAGAGCCCACUUACU
This 60-nucleotide transfer RNA is filed under the name Eophila tellinii. Its description in RNAcentral is "tRNA-Leu". The record is from RNAcentral. Lineage: Eukaryota; Metazoa; Annelida; Clitellata; Crassiclitellata; Lumbricidae.